This 236-nucleotide long non-coding RNA is filed under the name Salvia miltiorrhiza (redroot sage). RNAcentral's name for it is "long non-coding RNA (SMIL_LNC003964)". Lineage: Eukaryota; Viridiplantae; Streptophyta; Magnoliopsida; Lamiales; Lamiaceae. The record is from RNAcentral.
UAUUAUAUAUAAAGCAGGAGUUUAAUGGUAAAAUAUUACCGCCUUUUUUUAAAUUUUAGUUUUCUUUAUACUGUGACUAUCUUUCGCUAUUCCUACGGCAAAACCAUUUUCGCCUCUCUUUCCACUAUAGAAGUGGAUAUUCCUAUAUCAACUUUAGCUAAUCUAAAAAUCAUUUUCGUUACCAAAAAAAAAAGAAAAAAAACAAAUUUUCGUCUCUCUUUCCACUUUAGCCAAUC